Molecule: ribosomal RNA, 492 nt
Filed under: uncultured bacterium
Lineage: Bacteria
Description: partial 16S ribosomal RNA
Rfam family: Bacterial small subunit ribosomal RNA
Source: RNAcentral
AUUGAACGCUGGCGGCAUGCUUUACACAUACAAGUCGAACGGUAACAGGCCUUCGGGUGCUGACGAGUGGCGAACGGGUGAGUAAUGCAUCGGAACGUACCCAGAGGUGGGGGAUAACGCAGCGAAAGCUGUGCUAAUACCGCAUGUGAUCUGAGGAUGAAAGCGGGGGACCGAGCAGCAAUGUUUGGCCUCGCGCCUUUGGAGCGGCCGAUGUCGGAUUAGCUAGUUGGUGGGGUAAAGGCCUACCAAGGCGACGAUCCGUAGCUGGUCUGAGAGGACGACCAGCCACACUGGGACUGAGACACGGCCCAGACUCCUACGGGAGGCAGCAGUGGGGAAUUUUGGACAAUGGGCGCGGGCCUGAUCCAGCAAUGCCGCGUGCGGGAAGAAGGCCUUCGGGUUGUAAACCGCUUUUGGCAGGAACGAAACGGUGUCCGCUAAUACCGGGCGCUAAUGACGGUACCUGCAGAAUAAGCACCGGCUAACUACGUG